Molecule: ribosomal RNA, 368 nt
Filed under: uncultured organism
Description: bacterial SSU rRNA
Rfam family: Bacterial small subunit ribosomal RNA
Source: RNAcentral
GUAGGUGGCAAGCGUUGUCCGGAUUAUUGGGCGUAAAGCGCGCGCAGGUGGUUCUUGAGUCUGAUGUGAAAGCCCACGGCUCAACCGUGAGGGUCAUUGGAAACUGGGGAACUUGAGUGCAGAAGAGGAAAGUGGAAUUCCACGUGUAGCGGUGAAAUGCGUAGAGAUGUGGAGGAACACCAGUGGCGAAGGCGACUUUCUGGUCUGUAACUGACACUGAGGCGCGAAAGCGUGGGGAGCAAACAGGAUUAGAUACCCUGGUAGUCCACGCCGUAAACGAUGAGUGCUAAGUGUUAGAGGGUUUCCGCCCUUUAGUGCUGCAGCUAACGCAUUAAGCACUCCGCCUGGGGAGUACGGCCGCAAGGCUG